CGUGUAGGCGGAAUGUCAGGUGUCGUGUGAAAGCCCCGGGCUCAACCCGGGAAUGGCAUGGCAAACCGGCAUUCUUGAGGCAGGUAGAGGUGACUGGAACGACUGGUGGAGCGGUGAAAUGCGUAGAUAUCAGUUGGAACGCCAGAGGCGAAAGCGAGUCACUGGACCUGUCCUGACGCUGAGACGCGAAAGCGUGGGGAGCAAACAGGAUUAGAUACCCUGUAGUCC
This 228-nucleotide ribosomal RNA is filed under the name uncultured bacterium. Its description in RNAcentral is "partial 16S ribosomal RNA". It matches the Rfam family "Bacterial small subunit ribosomal RNA", at positions 568 to 796 of the family's 1533-position model. The record is from RNAcentral.